AAAGAGAACAACCCCCCCUUUUUCAUACAUCCAACUAUCGAAGAAGAGAUACUUUUCUUUUCGGACCGAGAAACAGGAGGCGCAUGGGGUUUGUUUCACCUCAGCUUGGGAAAUGAGAUGUAGGGUCCAAUCCGACCAAAACCCUAACCUUUAUUGCCCGUUGGUUAGGCUGGGCACUCUAGGGAGACUGCCAUUGACAACCCGGAGGAAGGCGGGGAUGACGUCAAAUCAUCAUGCCCCUUAUGUCCUGGGCUACACACGUGCUACAAUGGUGGGUACAAAGGGGAGCAAAACCGCGAAGGCAAAGCAAUCCCAAAAACCCCAUCCCAGUUCGGAUUGCAGUCUGCAACUCGCCUGCAUGAAGUUGGAAUCGCUAGUAAUCGCGGAUCAAGA
This 393-nucleotide ribosomal RNA is filed under the name uncultured bacterium. Its description in RNAcentral is "bacterial SSU rRNA". It matches the Rfam family "Bacterial small subunit ribosomal RNA", at positions 958 to 1354 of the family's 1533-position model. The record is from RNAcentral.